CAGUCGCCGCGGUAAUACGGAGGGGGCUAGCGUUGCUCGGAAUUACUGGGCGUAAAGCGCACGUAGGCGGCUUGGUAAGUUAGAGGUGAAAGCCCGGAGCUCAACUCCGGAAUUGCCUUUAAGACUGCCGAGCUAGUAGGUGAGAGAGGUAAGUGGAAUUCCGAGUGUAGAGGUGAAAUUCGUAGAUAUUCGGAAGAACACCAGUGGCGAAGGCGGCUUACUGACUCAUUCUAGACGCUGAGGUGCGAAAGCGUGGGGAGCAAACAGGAUUAGAUACCCCGGUAGUCCCUGUCUCUUAUAC
Molecule: ribosomal RNA, 301 nt
Filed under: uncultured bacterium
Lineage: Bacteria
Description: partial 16S ribosomal RNA
Rfam family: Bacterial small subunit ribosomal RNA
Source: RNAcentral